UAUGAAGGGUGCUGUCUGAGAGACUGU
This 27-nucleotide non-coding RNA is filed under the name Rattus norvegicus (Norway rat). The record is from RNAcentral. Lineage: Eukaryota; Metazoa; Chordata; Mammalia; Rodentia; Muridae.